CCUUAAAUAACCAGGCAAAGAAUGAUAUUCUACUAGCUGGUACUUCACUUUCUUCCACAAUCUCUUCCCUUUCCCUUCCACUGAAGAGCUCACUUGGUGCUUCUCCAUUGUUUCAGAUAUAACCUUUGAGACCUCACUGCUUUGCUUUCCAAUAUCCAUUAUCUGAAAUUGAAGAAGCACCCACUGAGAGAGAAAACCCAGAUGGG
Molecule: unclassified non-coding RNA, 206 nt
Filed under: Hevea brasiliensis (rubber tree)
Lineage: Eukaryota; Viridiplantae; Streptophyta; Magnoliopsida; Malpighiales; Euphorbiaceae
Source: RNAcentral